This 505-nucleotide ribosomal RNA is filed under the name uncultured bacterium. Its description in RNAcentral is "bacterial SSU rRNA". It matches the Rfam family "Bacterial small subunit ribosomal RNA", at positions 19 to 518 of the family's 1533-position model. The record is from RNAcentral.
CUGGCUCAGGAUGAACGCUAGCUACAGGCUUAACACAUGCAAGUCGAGGGGUAGCAGGGUAGCAAUACCGCUGACGACCGGCGCACGGGUGAGUAACACGUAUCCAACCUUCCCAUAACUCAGGGAUAGCCUUUCGAAAGAAAGAUUAAUACCUGAUGGUACCUUUUUCUGGGCAUCCAGUUAAGGUUAAAGAUUUAUCGGUUAUGGAUGGGGAUGCGUUCCAUUAGAUUGUUGGUGAGGUAACGGCUCACCAAGUCUUCGAUGGAUAGGGGUUCUGAGAGGAAGGUCCCCCACAUUGGUACUGAGACACGGACCAAACUCCUACGGGAGGCAGCAGUGAGGAAUAUUGGUCAAUGGGCGAGAGCCUGAACCAGCCAAGUAGCGUGAAAAGGAUGAAGGUCCUAUGGAUUGUAAACUUCUUUUAUAACAGGAUAAAGUGAGCCACGUGUGGUUUUUUGUAUGUAUGUUAUGAAUAAGGAUCGGCUAACUCCGUGCCAGCCGCCGC